Molecule: ribosomal RNA, 378 nt
Filed under: uncultured bacterium
Lineage: Bacteria
Description: partial 16S ribosomal RNA
Rfam family: Bacterial small subunit ribosomal RNA
Source: RNAcentral
CCUACGGGUGGCAGCAGUAGGGAAUAUUGCUCAAUGGGGGAAACCCUGAAGCAGCAACGCCGCGUGGAGGAUGAAGGUUUUCGGAUUGUAAACUCCUUUUGUUAGAGAAGAUAAUGACGGUAUCUAACGAAUAAGCACCGGCUAACUCCGUGCCAGCAGCCGCGGUAAUACGGAGGGUGCAAGCGUUACUCGGAAUUACUGGGCGUAAAGAGAGCGUAGGCGGGAUAGCAAGUCAGAUGUGAAAUCCUAUGGCUUAACCAUAGAACUGCAUUUGAAACUGGUAUUCUAGAGUAUGGGAGAGGUAGGCGGAAUUCGUGGUGUAGCGGUAAAAUGCGUAGAGAUCAAGAAGAAUACUCAUUGCGAAGGCAGCCUGCUAGA